RNAcentral lists this ribosomal RNA (399 nucleotides) under Triticum aestivum (bread wheat). Its description in RNAcentral is "partial small subunit ribosomal RNA". Lineage: Eukaryota; Viridiplantae; Streptophyta; Magnoliopsida; Poales; Poaceae. The record is from RNAcentral.
AAGGUACCACUUAAAGUUAAACUAUUCAUGUGGUAUCUCCGUAGGAGAGUUGUGCUAACCAAAGACAAUCUCGCACGGCGCAACUGGUCAGAAAGUAAGAAGUGUUGUUCUUGUACUCAUGACUACACAAUUAAACACCUCCUUUUUUAAUAUAAGUUUGCACGAUCUACGUGGCCAGUCAUCCAAAUAGCGUCAAAUUUAUAUACGCCCACAAGUGUUGCCAAUAUUUUUGGUCAAUGGCUGGAUGGUAUUUCAAAUAGGUACAAAACGCUAAUAAGGGUGGGAGCAUAUGUCUUACUAUCAUUGUUUUGGCUAUGUAGAAAUAAUGUUGUUUUCACUGACAAAAAUGUUUCUUCUUUGCAGGUUGUUUUACAUUGUACGCACUUGCUUCGUACGUAG